This 321-nucleotide ribosomal RNA is filed under the name uncultured Pseudomonadota bacterium. RNAcentral's name for it is "bacterial SSU rRNA". It matches the Rfam family "Bacterial small subunit ribosomal RNA", at positions 30 to 351 of the family's 1533-position model. The record is from RNAcentral. Lineage: Bacteria; Pseudomonadati; Pseudomonadota.
AUUGAACGCUGGCGACAUGCCUUACACAUGCAAGUCGAACGGCAGCACGGGGGCAACCCUGGUGGCGAGUGGCGAACGGGUGAGUAAUACAUCGGAACGUGCCCAGUAGUGGGGGAUAGCUCGGCGAAAGCCGGAUUAAUACCGCAUACGACCUAUGGGUGAAAGCGGGGGAUCGCAAGACCUCGCGCUAUUGGAGCGGCCGAUGUCAGAUUAGGUAGUUGGUGGGGUAAAGGCCUACCAAGCCAACGAUCUGUAGCUGGUCUGAGAGGACGACCAGCCACACUGGGACUGAGACACGGCCCAGACUCCUACGGGAGGCAG